CACGGGGGGAACGCGAAGAACCUUACCUGGACUAGAAUGUGAGGGAAUGUCGGGUAAUGCCGGCAGUCCGGGAAACCGGACCCAAAACAAGGUGCUGCAUGGCUGUCGUCAGCUCGUGUCGUGAGAUGUUGGGUUAAGUCCCGCAACGAGCGCAACCCUUAUCAACAGUUGCCAUCAUUAAGUUGGGAACUCUGUUGAGACUGCCGUUGAUAAAACGGAGGAAGGUGGGGAUGAUGUCAAGUCAUCAUGGCCUUUAUGUUCAGGGCUACACACGUGCUACAAUGGACGGUACAAAACGUCGCAAUCUCGUAAGAGGGAGCUAAUCGCAAAAACCGUUCUCAGUUCGGAUUGAAGUCUGCAACUCGACUUCAUGAAGUUGGAAUCGCUAGUAAUCGCAAAUCAGCAUGUUGCGGUGAAUACGUUCCCGGGUCUUGUACACACGC
Molecule: ribosomal RNA, 443 nt
Filed under: uncultured soil bacterium
Lineage: Bacteria
Description: bacterial SSU rRNA
Rfam family: Bacterial small subunit ribosomal RNA
Source: RNAcentral